CUCAGGUUACUGGGAACCUUCAUCAGACACCCAAGACAGCAUCUCACUCUGUGGCCCAGGCUGGAGUGUGGUGGCACUAUCACAGUUCAUUACAGCCUCAACGUCUCGGACUCAGAUGAUCCUGCCACCUCAAUCUCCCAAGUAGUUGGGACCACAGGUAAUGAGAGAUCACCAGGCUAGGAGGAUAGAGAAGCCUGAAUUCUGCUAAGGAAUAGACAUAAACAACUGCCAGCCAUUAUUCUGGAGGUCACAAGAAGUGAUUCAGCACUCAGGAUUAUUGCCCACACCCCUACGAUUGCACCCCCAAGCAAUCACCAGCAAGCACCCAAUGCCUAGCCAUCCCCACCCCUUCCCCCAAACUACCUUUGAAAAACCCCUAACCUACCAGCCUUCAAUGAGAUUGAUUUGAGUAAUAACUCCAUCUCCAGUGUGGAGUGGCCAGCCUCACAUCAAUUAAACUCUUUCUUUACUGCAAUGCUAUGGUCUUUGUUUGUGCAGCAGGCAGGAAGAACUCCUCAGGCAGUUACACUUCGAGCCUUAAGACACCUUGAUGUCAGACUUCCAGUGCCCUGAAUUGUGACAGAAUAAAUUUCUGUUGUUUUAAAACUCCCAAGUUUGUGACAGUUUGUUAUGGCAGUUCUAGGAAACUAAAAUAAAU
This 658-nucleotide long non-coding RNA is filed under the name Homo sapiens (human). RNAcentral's name for it is "HSALNT0394768". The record is from RNAcentral. Lineage: Eukaryota; Metazoa; Chordata; Mammalia; Primates; Hominidae.